UACGUAGGGUGCAAGCGUUGUCCGGAAUUAUUGGGCGUAAAGCGCGUGUAGGCGGCUCGAUAAGUCUGCUGUGAAAGUCCAGGGCUCAACCCUGGAAUGCCGGUGGAAACUGUCGAGCUAGAGUCCGGAAGAGGCGAGUGGAAUUCCUGGUGUAGCGGUGAAAUGCGCAGAUAUCAGGAGGAACACCAAUGGCGAAGGCAGCUCGCUGGGACGGUACUGACGCUGAGACGCGAAAGCGUGGGGAGCAAACAGG
Molecule: ribosomal RNA, 253 nt
Filed under: uncultured bacterium
Lineage: Bacteria
Description: partial 16S ribosomal RNA
Rfam family: Bacterial small subunit ribosomal RNA
Source: RNAcentral